GGUUCGGUGGUGUAGUUGGUUCAUCACAACAGUCUAACAACCUGUGCAAUACACUGUACAUAGUUCCACUGUAGGUCCUCGGUUCGAGCCCGGGCCGAAUCA
Molecule: transfer RNA, 102 nt
Filed under: Pyricularia grisea
Lineage: Eukaryota; Fungi; Ascomycota; Sordariomycetes; Magnaporthales; Pyriculariaceae
Also listed under: 1 other name
Description: tRNA-Val
Source: RNAcentral